Molecule: ribosomal RNA, 247 nt
Filed under: uncultured bacterium
Lineage: Bacteria
Description: partial 16S ribosomal RNA
Rfam family: Bacterial small subunit ribosomal RNA
Source: RNAcentral
AACGUAGGUUCCGAGCGUUAUCCGGAUUUACUGGCGUAAAGCGCGUUCAGGCGGUUUGGCAAGUCGGGCAUGAAAUCUCUCGGCUCAACCGGGAGAGUUGUCCGAUACUGCUGGACUUGAGGCAGGUAGAGGGUGGUGGGAAUUCCGGGUGGUAGUGGUGAAAUGCGUAGAUAUCCGGAGGAACACCAGUGGCGAAAGCGGCCACCUGGACUGUACCUGACGCUGACACGCGAAAGCUAGGGGAGCG